RNAcentral lists this microRNA precursor (77 nucleotides) under Myotis davidii. RNAcentral describes it as "mir-9193 microRNA precursor family". It matches the Rfam family "mir-9193 microRNA precursor family". Lineage: Eukaryota; Metazoa; Chordata; Mammalia; Chiroptera; Vespertilionidae. The record is from Rfam by way of RNAcentral.
CAAGGGGCAGGGAGGGAAUCCCUUAGCUUGAAUUGUGAGAGGGCGCAGGCCAGGCUGAGGGACCCCACUGGUGCAUG